GAAAAUGAAUGUGUAUUAAAAAUAUACAGU
RNAcentral lists this non-coding RNA (30 nucleotides) under Rattus norvegicus (Norway rat). Lineage: Eukaryota; Metazoa; Chordata; Mammalia; Rodentia; Muridae. The record is from RNAcentral.